RNAcentral lists this ribosomal RNA (504 nucleotides) under uncultured Glomeraceae. RNAcentral describes it as "SSU rRNA". It matches the Rfam family "Eukaryotic small subunit ribosomal RNA", at positions 569 to 1078 of the family's 1831-position model. Lineage: Eukaryota; Fungi; Glomeromycota; Glomeromycetes; Glomerales; Glomeraceae. The record is from RNAcentral.
AGCAGCCGCGGUAAUUCCAGCUCCAAUAGCGUAUAUUAAAGUUGUUGCAGUUAAAAAGCUCGUAGUUGAAUUUCGAGACCGGUCUACUGGUCGUGCUUUUGUACGUACUGGUAUAAUCGGUUUCUCUCUUCUGACGAACUAUAAUGCCAUUAAUUUGGUGUUUUAGGGAAUCAGGACUGUUACUUUGAAAAAUUAGAGUGUUUAAAGCAGGCUCACGCUUGAAUACAUUAGCAUGGAAUAACGAAAUAGGACGUUUGAUUCUAUUUUGUUGGUUUCUAGGAUCGACGUAAUGAUUAAUAGGGAUAGUUGGGGGCAUUAGUAUUCAAUUGUCAGAGGUGAAAUUCUUGGAUUUAUUGAAGACUAACUACUGCGAAAGCAUUUGCCAAGGAUGUUUUCAUUAAUCAAGAACGAAAGUUAGGGGAUCGAAGACGAUCAGAUACCGUCGUAGUCUUAACCAUAAACUAUGCCGACUAGGGAUCGGAUGAUGUAAUUUUUAAUGACUCA